AGCGAACGCUGGCGGUAGGCCUAACACAUGCAAGUCGAACGGCAGCACAGUAAGAGCUUGCUGUUACGGGGGGCGAGUGGCGGACGGGUCAGGAAUACAUCGGAAUCUACUUUUUCGUGUGGGAUAACGUAGGGAAACCUACGCUAAUACCGCAUACGCCCUAGCGUUGAAAGCAGUGGAUCUUCGCACCUUGCGCGGAUGAAUGAGCCGAUGAUGGAGUAGCUAGUUGGCGGGGUAAUGGCCCAGCAAGGCGGCGAUCCGUAGCUGGAGUGAGAGGAUGAUCGCCGACAUUGGAACGGGGACAGGGUCCAGAGUCCUACGGGAGGGAGCAGUGGGGAAUAGGAGACAGUGGGCGGAAGCAUGGUCCAGCCAGACCGAGUGGGUGGAGGAGGCGUUCGGGGUGUAAAGACCUUUUGUUGGGAAAGAAAAGCAGCAGGUUAAUACCACGCUGUUCUGACGCUACCCAAUGAAGAAGCACCGGCUAACUUCGUG
This 492-nucleotide ribosomal RNA is filed under the name uncultured bacterium. RNAcentral's name for it is "partial 16S ribosomal RNA". It matches the Rfam family "Bacterial small subunit ribosomal RNA", at positions 30 to 507 of the family's 1533-position model. The record is from RNAcentral.